Molecule: ribosomal RNA, 497 nt
Filed under: uncultured bacterium
Lineage: Bacteria
Description: partial 16S ribosomal RNA
Rfam family: Bacterial small subunit ribosomal RNA
Source: RNAcentral
GAUGAACGCUGGCGGCGUGCCUAAUACAUGCAAGUCGAGCGAACGGACGAGAAGCUUGCUUCUCUGAUGUUAGCGGCGGACGGGUGAGUAACACGUGGAUAACCUACCUAUAAGACUGGGAUAACUUCGGGAAACCGUAGCUAAUACCGGAUAAUAUUUUGAACCGCAUGGUUCAAAAGUGAGAGACGGUCUUGCUGUCACUUAUAGAUGGAUCCGCGCUGCAUUAGCUAGUUGGUAAGGUAACGGCUUACCAAGGCAACGAUGCAUAGCCGACCUGAGAGGGUGAUCGGCCACACUGGAACUGAGACACGGUCCAGACUCCUACGGGAGGCAGCAGUAGGGAAUCUUCCGCAAUGGGCGAAAGCCUGACGGAGCAACGCCGCGUGAGUGAUGAAGGUCUUCGGAUCGUAAAACUCUGUUAUUAGGGAAGAACAUAUGUGUAAGUAACUGUGCACAUCUUGACGGUACCUAAUCAGAAAGCCACGGCUAACUACGUG